Molecule: ribosomal RNA, 505 nt
Filed under: uncultured bacterium
Lineage: Bacteria
Description: partial 16S ribosomal RNA
Rfam family: Bacterial small subunit ribosomal RNA
Source: RNAcentral
GACGAACGCUGGCGGCGUGCCUAAUACAUGCAAGUAGAACGCACAGUUUAUACCGUAGCUUGCUACACCAUACACUGUGAGUUGCGAACGGGUGAGUAACGCGUAGGUAACCUGCCUGGUAGCGGGGGAUAACUAUUGGAAACGAUAGCUAAUACCGCAUAAUAUUGAUUAUUGCAUGAUAAUUGAUUGAAAGAUGCUAUUGCAUCACUACCAGAUGGACCUGCGUUGUAUUAGCUAGUAGGUGAGGUAACGGCUCACCUAGGCGACGAUACAUAGCCGACCUGAGAGGGUGAUCGGCCACACUGGGACUGAGACACGGCCCAGACUCCUACGGGAGGCAGCAGUAGGGAAUCUUCGGCAAUGGACGAAAGUCUGACCGAGCAACGCCGCGUGAGUGAAGAAGGGUGUCGGAUCGUAAAGCUCUGUUGUAAGAGAAGAACGGGUGUGAGAGUGGAAAGUUCACACUGUGACGGUAUCUUACCAGAAAGGGACGGCUAACUACGUG